AUGGGCCUACGGGACGCAGCAGUGAGGAAUAUUGGUCAAUGGGCUUACGCCUGAACCAGCCAAGUCGCGUGAGGGAAGACUGCCCUAUGGGUUGUAAACCUCUUUUGUCAGGGCGCAACGCCGGCUACGUGUAGCCGGACUGAGAGUACCUGAAGAAAAAGCAUCGGCUAACUCCGUGCCAGCAGCCGCGGUAAUACGGAGUAUGCGAGCGUUAUCCGGAUUUAUUGGGUUUAAAGGGUGCGUAGGCGAAAUGCCAAGUCAGCGGUAAACUCGCGGGGC
RNAcentral lists this ribosomal RNA (279 nucleotides) under uncultured bacterium. RNAcentral's name for it is "partial 16S ribosomal RNA". It matches the Rfam family "Bacterial small subunit ribosomal RNA", at positions 333 to 608 of the family's 1533-position model. The record is from RNAcentral.